CCUACGGGAGGCAGCAGUGGGGAAUAUUGCACAAUGGGGGAAACCCUGAUGCAGCGACGCCGCGUGAGUGAAGAAGUAAUUCGUUAUGUAAAGCUCUAUCAGCAGGGAAGAAAAUGACGGUACCUGAGUAAGAAGCCCCGGCUAACUACGUGCCAGCAGCCGAGGCAACAUGGAGGGGGCAAGCGUUAUCCGGAUUUACUGUGUGUAAAGGGAGCGUAGACGGCAGUGCAAGUCUGUAGUGAAAGGUGGGGGCUCAACCCCCGGACUGCACUUGAUACCGUAAGGCUGGAGUGCAGUAGAGGUAGGUGGAAUUCGUAGUGUAGCGGUGAAAUGCGUAGAUAUUAGGAAGAACACCAGUGGCGAAGGCGGCUUACUGGACUGUAACUGACGUUGAGGCUCGAAAGCGUGGGGAGCAAACAGGAUUAGAUACCCCAGUAGUC
RNAcentral lists this ribosomal RNA (440 nucleotides) under uncultured bacterium. RNAcentral describes it as "partial 16S ribosomal RNA". It matches the Rfam family "Bacterial small subunit ribosomal RNA", at positions 338 to 795 of the family's 1533-position model. The record is from RNAcentral.